RNAcentral lists this ribosomal RNA (253 nucleotides) under uncultured bacterium. Its description in RNAcentral is "partial 16S ribosomal RNA". It matches the Rfam family "Bacterial small subunit ribosomal RNA", at positions 524 to 776 of the family's 1533-position model. The record is from RNAcentral.
UACGGAGGGGACUAGCGUUGUUCGGAAUUACUGGGCGUAAAGCGCACGUAGGCGGAUUUGUAAGUCAGGGGUGAAAUCCCGGGGCUCAACCUCGGAACUGCCUUUGAUACUGCAAAUCUCGAGUCCGGAAGAGGUGAGUGGAAUUCCUGGUGUAGCGGUGGAAUGCGCAGAUAUCAGGAGGAACACCAAUAGCGAAGGCAGCUCGCUGGGACGGUACUGACGCUAAGGCGCGAAAGCGUGGGGAGCGAACAGG